AGUGAACGCUGGCGGUAGGCCUAACACAUGCGAGUCGAACGGCAGCACAGUAAGAGCUUGCUCUUACGGGUGGCGAGUGGCGGACGGGUGAGGAAUACAUCGGAAUCUACUUUUUCGUGGGGGCUAACGUAGGGAAACUUACGCUAAUACCGCAUACGACCUACGGGUGAAAGCAGGGGAUCUUCGGACCUUGCGCGAUUGAAUGAGCCGAUGUCGGAUUAGCUAGUUGGCGGGGUAAAGGCCCACCAAGGCGACGAUCCGUAGCUGGUCUGAGAGGAUGAUCAGCCACACUGGAACUGAGACACGGUCCAGACUCCUACGGGAGGCAGCAGUGGGGAAUAUUGGACAAUGGGCGCAAGCCUGAUCCAGCCAUACCGCGUGGGUGAAGAAGGCCUUCGGGUUGUAAAGCCCUUUUGUUGGGAAAGAAAAGCAGCAGGUUAAUACCCCGCUGUUCUGACGGUACCCAAAGAAUAAGCACCGGCUAACUUCGUG
Molecule: ribosomal RNA, 492 nt
Filed under: uncultured bacterium
Lineage: Bacteria
Description: partial 16S ribosomal RNA
Rfam family: Bacterial small subunit ribosomal RNA
Source: RNAcentral